Molecule: long non-coding RNA, 1223 nt
Organism: Myotis davidii
Lineage: Eukaryota; Metazoa; Chordata; Mammalia; Chiroptera; Vespertilionidae
Exons: 3
Source: RefSeq, a predicted model, not a curated record
CUCGCAGGCCAUGGAACAGAAAGGGCUUUUAUCCUCAGGAUCAAGAGAAGCAAGCCGCUUUAGAGAUCGAAUAACCUGCCCAAGCUCACCCAACUGGCGAGUGGAAUUACAUACUUUUCCUUUUACCCUCACAGCACCUCCUUCGUAUUACCUCCUAGGAUAGCUGAGGAAAGUGAGGCCCAGCUUAGAAAGGGGCGGUCAAGAGCAGAUAUCAGAUCUCAUCGCCGAUAUAUUUGCCAAUAAAGGAGACAGCUUGGAAGACUGACAAGGUGAAACCUAGGAGACAGGGUAGAAGAGGAUCUGAGGUUUGAAUAAAAUCGCGCCCUCAAAAGGUUCGCUUUCAAAGUUCUGAAAUUCCCCAGUAAGAUUCCAGGACAAACGCCGUAGCUGGGAGCUGCGGGAAGGGCAGCACUGUCGCCCACCGUAGGAAGGUGCUUCCUGGGUGGCCCCUGAGCAUCACAGAUGCUGAUUUAACAUGCCCGUCCGUGGGCUCCACAUACUUGAAUCUGCAUUUUUCAAAUGAGGGCUCCCGACAUCCUCGACGGACAGUAAAGUUUGAGAACUACAUUAGCAGGCUGGACUGGUCGCUUGACAGCUCUAGACCGCGGUUUCCCAAACUGGAAAAGACGGGGGCCGAGGGAGCGGGAGAAUAACAAUAAAAUCUGCCUCUGGACGCUCGACUUCCCCCAGCCGGUGAGACUCGAAUCACGUGAUGGGCUAGAAAAGGCCGGCGCGACUGCGUACUGAGAGGCCGAACGGCCCGCAAGGCAUUGUGGGACACAGGGGGGCCGUCAGCCGCUCCCGCCUCCAGCUUUGACGGCACGGCUGCCACGUUGCAAUAAAUCUAAACGCCUUUUCGGGGCGUCGCCGGGUGCCUCCGGGCGUAACUGUAAACACCCUUCUUGUGUCUAAGAGCCGACAAGGCUAAUGAAGCCACCUCCCAAAGAGCAGUGACAAACUUCCGGUGUGCCUUCGCUUUACGACUCGCGUUCCGCCGCCGAGCCCAAAGGAAGCGGCAGCGCAGUUUACGGCAGCGCCGGUCAGGUUUACGGCGCCGGUCACUGCGCGCGCACCGUCCCUCCUUUCCAGUCGCCUCGGAGUGCAGCAGGUAGCGAGCUGUCUGGCCUGGUCUAUCUUUCGCCAUCCGGGCCGGCUGAGGCCCGUGCAGGUUUUAGAAGAUGGCAAAGUUCAUGACACCCGUGAUCCAGGACAACCCCUCUUCC